RNAcentral lists this ribosomal RNA (468 nucleotides) under uncultured bacterium. RNAcentral's name for it is "partial 16S ribosomal RNA". It matches the Rfam family "Bacterial small subunit ribosomal RNA", at positions 28 to 507 of the family's 1533-position model. The record is from RNAcentral.
GACGAACGCUGGCGGCGUGCUUAACACAUGCAAGUCGAACGGAAAGGCCCUGCUUUUGUGGGGUGCUCGAGUGGCGAACGGGUGAGUAACACGUGAGUAACCUGCCCUUGACUUUGGGAUAACUUCAGGAAACUGGGGCUAAUACCGGAUAGGAGCUCCUGCUGCAUGGUGGGGGUUGGAAAGUUUCGGCGGUUGGGGAUGGACUCGCGGCUUAUCAGCUUGUUGGUGGGGUAGUGGCUUACCAAGGCUUUGACGGGUAGCCGGCCUGAGAGGGUGACCGGCCACAUUGGGACUGAGAUACGGCCCAGACUCCUACGGGAGGCAGCAGUGGGGAAUAUUGCACAAUGGGCGGAAGCCUGUUGCAGCAACGCCGCGUGCGGGAUGACGGCCUUCGGGUUGUAAACCGCUUUCGCCUGUGACGAAGCGUGAGUGACGGUAAUGGGUAAAGAAGCACCGGCUAACUACGUG